This 87-nucleotide transfer RNA is filed under the name Ignavibacteria bacterium. RNAcentral describes it as "tRNA-Ser". It matches the Rfam family "tRNA". From Rfam's summary of the family: Transfer RNA (tRNA) molecules are approximately 80 nucleotides in length. RNAcentral also lists the same sequence under 1 other name. The record is from RNAcentral. Lineage: Bacteria; Pseudomonadati; Ignavibacteriota; Ignavibacteria.
GGAAAGGUGCAGGAGUGGUUUAACUGGCACGCCUGGAAAGCGUGUGUACUCGAAAGGGUACCGAGAGUUCGAAUCUCUCCCUUUCCG